CAGGACGAACUCAAGUCGUCCAGGACGAACUCGUUAACCAUGGUUAGUUGUUGGAAAGCCUAUAAAUAGAGGUUAAUGUUUUCAUUUGAAAACAACUACACACUUUGUAAGUGCACACACUAUACACAUUCUCGAGAGUUAAAUUAGAAGAUCAUAUUUAUCGAGAGUUUGUAAUAGAGUGAUUGUAGUCUCUGCAGCCGACACUUGUGUUGGAAUUUGUAGCACCCGAGGAUUAUUUCUAAUACAAGAAUAUUCCCCGACUUGCUGGAGUUAUUUAUUUACGAUUGAUUUAACAUGGACUGAAACAAAAUUAUCCGCAAUUAAAUUAAAUCGAAGAAAUUGGUACGACGUAUUCAACCCCCCCCUUCUACGUCUGAUUGGACCUAACAAUUGGUAUCAGAGCUUAGCUGAUCGAUAUACAGAUCUGAGAUCCGUAACCAAUCUGAAAAGCUAGCUGUCCGUACAAUCGUAAUUUUAUCUGAUAACAAUGUCGACACACAAGUUAGGAAUCAAAGUACCUC
Molecule: long non-coding RNA, 521 nt
Filed under: Daucus carota (carrot)
Lineage: Eukaryota; Viridiplantae; Streptophyta; Magnoliopsida; Apiales; Apiaceae
Description: long non-coding RNA (DCAR_LNC002645)
Source: RNAcentral